UUUUUUUUUUUUUUUUCCCUUCCCUUUUUAGGGCCAUAGCCACCGCAUACGGAAGGUCCCAGGCUAGGGGUCAAAUGAGAGCUGCAGCUCCCAGCCAAUACCACACCCACGGCAACAUCAGAUCCGAGCCUCCUCUACAACCUACACCACAGCUCAUGGCAACGCCGAUCCUUAACCCCCUGAGCAAGGCCAGGGAUCGAACCCACAUCCUCACGGAUGCUAGUUGAGUUCGUUUCUGCUUGGCCGCCACGGAACUCCUCUUUCUUUCUUUUUGGUGGUAAAAUACAUACAACAUAAAAACACUCUUCUGUUUUCUGUCUCUAUGGAGGUGACUAUUCUAGGAACAUCAUAUAAGAGGAAUCACACAUAAAAUAGAUAACCAACAAGGACGUAAUAUAUAGCACAGGGGACGAUACUUAUUUUGCAAUAACCUACAGGGGGACAGAGUCUAAAAAAUAUAUAAUUAACUGAAUUGCUGUGCUGUAGCCUGAAACUAACAUGAUACUGUAAAUCAACUAUACUUCAAUUUUUAAAUUUUUCAUUUAAAAAAGGAAUCACACAAUAUUUGCCCUUUUGCACCUAGAUGACUUCAUGUAGCAUAAUGACUUUAAGGUUCAUCCAUGUUAUGGUAGGUGUCUGAAUUCCCUUCACUUUUAAGGCCAAAUAAUAUUCCAUCACAUGUAUACACAAAUUUGCUCACCCAUUCACCUUUAAAUAAACAUUUGGGGAGUUCCUGUCGUGGUUCAACAGAAACAGAUCCGACUAGCAUCCACGAGGACCCAGGUUCGAUCCCUGGCCUCGCUUAGCGGGUUAAGGAUAUGGCAUUGCUGUGAGCUGUGGUGUAGGUUGCAGACACGGCUCAGAUCCCAUGUUGCCAUGGCUGCAGUGUAGGCCGGCAGCUGCAGCUCUGAUUCGACCCCUAGCCUGGGAACUUCCAUAUGCCUCAGGUGCAGCCCUAUUUAAAAACAAACAAACAAAAAAGUAAGUAAAUAAAAAUAAACAUCUGGGUUGUUUCCGCCUUCUGGCUACUGUGAACAGUGUUGCGUGAGCAUUGGUUUAUUAGUUUAUAAGCAAGUCUUUGCUUUCUAUCUUUUGGGUAUGUAACCAGAUGUGGGAUCAUACAAUAAUUCUAUGUUUAAUUUUUGGAGAAAGCGCCUCACUGUUUUUCAUCGUGUCUGCACCAUCUUACAAUCCCACCAGCAUGGACCACAACUGCUUUCAUUUUUUUAAAUUUAUUUAUUUAUUUUGCCUUUUGUCCUCUUAGGGCCACACCCUCAGCACAUGGAGUGGCCCAAGAAAUAGCAAAAAAAAGACAAAAAUUAAUAAAUAAAUAAACUGUGGCACAAAUAAACCUAUCUACGAAACAGAAACAACUCACAGACAUAGAGAACCUCUUGUGGUUGCCAAGAGGGACGGGGAGGGAGUGGGAGGGAGUAGGAGUUUGGGGUUAGUAGAUGCAAAUUAUUACAAUUAGAAUGGAUAAGCAAUGAGGUCCUGCUGGAUAGUACAGGGAACUAUAUCCAACCCCUUGGGGUAGAACACGAUGGAAGAUAAUAUGAGAAAAAAGAAUGUACAUGUGUGUGUGACUGGGUCACUUUGCCAUACAGCAGAAACUGACACAAUAUUGUCAAUCAACUACAAUAAAAAAUUUAAAAAACAAAACAAAAACAAACAGAAAAACCCCAUGUCUCCUAUCCCUGGGAUGGCAGGGCCACCUGCUAACUCAUCUGAAGCAGUCUGAUGCCCAGGUUUGACAGACGGUGGCAUCGGGAGACUUCUAUGGACAAAUACAGUCGCCCUCCACAAAACCGAUCUCCAAGAAUUAAGAACAGCUCUGAAAGGCCCCUAGUGACGUGUCAUCCCACUCUCCCGAGCACGCCUACAUUUCAACAGGAACAACACUCAGGGCGCAGCAACUUCUACACAAUUGUUAGAACUGCUAUGAACAUCAGUACUUCGUUCAUUGGCCCAAAGUGAUCUUCCUCCAACCUUGUACUUGUAGUCACAGACUCACUGUGACCUUGGGUCUUUAACCUCUCUGAGCCCAUUCAUGUGCACAAGGAGAGCUUUGACGUAAGCAAUCUCCAAGGACCCUCUUAACUCUGAUGAUCGGGAUCCCACAUCCCACGUUCAGCUUCUGAUACACGGCUCUGAUGUUCAACCCAACCCAAUCUCACCUUUUCAAAAGAUCCCUGUACUUACGCGAGGCCCUUCCAGGGUGGACCAUGAACCUACAAAACAUCUCCGUGUGAAUCAGGAAAAAUAACCUGCUUCCUCCAAAUGGACACAGCCCCACCUUGGAGCAACAUGUGGCUUUCAGCCCACAGUCAAUCAGAAGCCUUGUUCAGUGCACCACCUGAACAACCAUACAUGGCAGCCUCGUACCCUUCUAUGGAACAUUACCAGGGCCUCCCUAGCCCUCGAUUCUGCCCAGCAAUAACAAGAAAAAUGGCAAUUAAAAUUUGUUGAUUGUAUGAUACCUAUCAGGCACUAUGGUAACUUCUUUUUGCUUUAAGGGUUGGGUAGACAUCAAAAACAUGAACCGCAUAUAUGUUCGCUAUGAGAACAAACAACUGACACCCAUAUACCUACCAGGCAGUGUAAGAAACAAAAAAAUAUCAGCUUUGCCUUUUCCUAAUCCCAUCCUCUUUCCUCCUCACUCAGAGGUAACUCCUGAAUUUUGGAUACAACACUCUCCUGCUUUUCCUUAUAAUUUUGCCGCUAUCAGUUUUGCAUAGUUUUUUUGACUCAUGUAAGAGGGAUCAGGGUAAGGCCUCUUCCAUGCUUGCCAGUCUCUCUCCUGUGAAGUCUGUGAGUCACAGGUGUUGCUGCAGGCAGCUGCCACCAUAAAGUCACUGCCACAUGACAUCCAACACUCAUGACAACGACAACGUGGAUACUAAUAGCUCCAUUUUGCAGAUGAGGAAACUGAGGCUUCGGGAGGUUUAAAUGACUUGCCGGAGGCACCGUGUGGGCUAGUGGCAGUGCUGAGAUGCAGAUUCACUGAUGCAAACUCAUCACACAGCCAGUGAUGACCAGGCAGCAUGGCCGAGGGGAGAGGGGUGACGGAGGCAGACACAGCCGGGCCUCCAAGGCACGUACAGGAAGGCCUGACUCCAUCCACAGGUCGGUCUGAAGGCAGAACCCUGGUGUGUGGCUCCUCGGUCAUGUUAAUGGCAGCUGGAAUCAGAACUGUGAGGAUUCUGUUGCAGAAAUGUUUUCAGGGGACAGCACAGACCACUUCUAAAUUCUAGACGUGAUCCUGGUCUUUCCGUUCUUAUUCACACACACACACACACACACACACACACACACACACACACACACUCAGAAAAACAAACACCCACAUACGGAGGAGAGCUCUAAGUUUCCAAGAAAAGGCAGACAGUAAGUCGAUGAGGCUCCAACUCCACACUUGAGUCAUUAACCGUGUUACCUGGCAAACGCUUAACUUUAAACAUUCCUGCAGGCUUCAGAAAAGCCAACUUCAGCCCAGGACUGGAACCAGCCUGGAGAAAAAUGCCCAAAGGAGUCAUUCUGGUUUGACAGGUACAACACGCUGUCCAGAUAUUAAAACACACACAAAUAAAAACCCACAAAGACUUUCUCUUCUUCCCUUUGCCCUCAAUUUUGCACUGAUGCUUUUCAGGGGUAAACAGUUGCCAGGAUCCAUGACUGAGAGCCUCGGAAACCCCUUCUGAAGCCAAGCCUGCCAAGUUGUGGGUCCCUGGAAUGGCAGCCCCCAUCAGCUACCUCCUGGGGUGGCGGUGGGUACACAGAAGUACCAUAUUCAAGAAGGAAGCAAGAAAGCUGACCCCAGAGAGGAGACAGGGAUGGCCAGGCAUCCUGGCUGACUUAUCAAGUCAGCCAAGGUCCAAGGUAAAGUCAAAGGCAGACUCGGUCAAGAGAAACAGCCUCUGGCCGAUCAAAACCAGAAAAAGCAAGAAAUUAAUUUAUUCAUCUGGACAGCAAGCAUUUCUCUCUGAGCAUUUUCUCUCCACAUUGACUGAUCGAAUCUUGGUGAACGAAAGCACAACUCUCUUACUGCGUAAAGAAAGACACACACAAAAGCCCCUCAACUGAAAAAUCGAGUCAGGCAGUUUGCGAUUUCACCUUUGAGUGAACAGGAUGCAGCCACAAAGGGCUGGACAGGGAGCUGGUGGCGCAGCUCCCGCUGGCGUCAUCGUUAAUAAGUAAGCGGCAGCGGCCUGUGCAGAGCCAGCCUGCGGUGCCAAGGAAGCACGGGGUGGGGUCUGGGACCCGAGCAGGAGCCAGGUGACACUGGGGGGCUGCACUCCAUGUGGAACCUGGCAUCCUUAACCAGCCCUGUCUUGGCCACCCACUUCAUAUCUCCCACUAGAUGCAGUCCCUGACUCUGGCGGCCUUGGAGGGUCCUGGAGCUGAAAGCCACCCCCACGUUGUCACUUGGGAGACCAGAACUUCAGCCCUCUUACGAGGCGCUAGGAGUGUGGCCGCCUGGGUCUGCGGGGCUUUGCUGCUCUCAGAAGCAACUCCCCUUUGAGGGGCCAUGAGGACCUUUGUGUCCUCAAGGAGAAAUAGCCAGGACUGUUUUAAUAGCACAGAAAGGCCUGGAUCAUUAGGGAGAAUGCCAGCGCUGAGCACGCUAGGAGGGAACGAAUCAGCCUGGAGCACUGGGGCAGGGUCCCCAGACCGAGGGGCAGCUGGCCGGGGAGGUGAGCUGCUGGCAUCUCAGUGCUCCAAAAUAACCACAACCGAUUUGCACACGAAUGAGCAAACACAAAACCCCAAAGCGAGGACAUUCAAAACCGAAAGCAGCUGCUAAUCACCUGUUUAAUUUUUUUUUCUUAAAUUAGCUGCGACGAAGAAUUUUCAAACCCUCCAGUACAAUACACAGCUUAACAUUUUCAUACACCUGUAAAACCACUAAGUUAAAUCCCAUUACAAAAGACUUCAACUUAUAAAAGAGCAGUUCAAAUACAGUUCUUAUCAAAUACAAACAAUGGAAAGUGAUUUAGGCAAGAGAACAUCAGUCACUGGAAAUUAACAUUUGAAAAAACUUUUUUUACAUAAAAACCAUCUGUGUAUUGAGACCAUGCACUCUGCUAAACCACAGGCCUAAUUAAGAAACUAGGAACCAAGGCGUUACAUAGCGAUGCAUGAAGUUUUGUGUUUCCUUUCUCUUUUUGUUUUGUUUUGCGGGUGUUUUUUUGGUUUUGCUUUGUUUUGAGUCUUGCUGAAAUUUUAUCAAUACAGAACGUGUUGUGCUCUCUCCUCUGCAAAUCUAAAGCAAUGUCUAAGUCAUACUGCUAAAGAUGCUUGCAAGCCGUCAGACAAAACACACUUGUCUUAAUCUGGGGUGAUUCUCCCACGCCAGCAUCCCCACCCAAGGCUAUCUGCUUCAAAGUCCAGCCAGGGCAGAAAAGUAUCAAGAAGAUAAAAAUGAAGAAGCAGGCCCACUGGCAAAGCAGUUACGCAGAGAGGGGAGAGCUGGUAUGUCUGGGUAACAGGGCCCAGAAUUCAAAUAUUACCUUGUUCUUUCCCCCCAGUCACGCUGUCUCUUGAGCAAAGGAUGAAAAAAAAGGCCAAUGAACAACUAACAUCCAAAUGGUAUUUUACGUCUUAAAAGCAUCAGGUGGAUAGCUGAGCUGAGGCACAGAGGAACUCGGUGACACAAAGAUAAGGAAACGAAGUCUCAGAAAGGUUACAUGGCCCAUCCAGGGUCACAGAGUGAGGUAGUAAGAGACAGACCAGAGCCUGGAACCCAGUGGGCCCUGGCUAUCCCCCUGCUGCUCAAAAUAGCGCUUCCAGAACGAGGGAGGGGUUCUGGCCCAGCCCUUGGAGCAGAGAGAACCAUGUGGUUACAACGGUACCCAAGAGUCCGCCUGAGACUGUACUUCUGGAAGAGUCUGUGUUUUGAGGGUAAUGAGUCAGGAGUCCCUUGGGUUUUGGGGUGCUCCCCAACAGAAAGGUCCCAGGAGAAGAAAAAUAAGGGAGAUCAAAGGGGACAGACGGUUGUGUCACAGACAUACGGGGUUGUGUCUGCUCAGCACCCCGACCUUUGGGGAACAGACUCUCGCUCACUCCAUGCACUUCCAACAGGACUGUCAAUCAGAGCCUAGUUCAAGGCCUGGGUCUCAGGCAGGCCCAUCAGUGAACCUCCCUGAGAGGGACAUGUGGAUGCUACAAGAAAGCCCUAACGUUCCCACUGGAGUCGCCAAGUCCAUGUGUGGCUCCAGGAUCCCACAGGCCACCCACCUCAUCCAACUCGAGGAAAACCUCCUCCAUCGACAAAAGGACUGAAUGAGAUCAACCCACAGAGGGAAGGAAAGGGGACAUAGGAGGGACAGACAGAGCCAUGAUGACAUCCUUUGCAGCCCCGGAACCAACCCGGACCAAGCCAGGAAAACUCCUGGACUUUGCAGUUUCGUGAGCCAACACAGUCCCUUUUCUCCUGGAAUUCGCUUGAAACCCAAAGGAUGCUGACGUCUGACACAUAAGACCAUGUUCAAUAUGCCCUGACCACAGACUCGGCAUUUUUCGAACCAUCUCUAUUUUCAACAUGCAGGGUUGGGUGGCCCCGGAAAACCACUUCCACUCUUGCCUUCUGAAAUCUACUCUCCGCCCAGGGCUGGAGUAAUUCGUUCUUCAACAGCAAAUCACAUGACCUCACUCUCUGGCUCAAACCCUCCCAAUGAUGGCCUAACAUAAGCUCCUUUUUAUGGACCUCAAGGUUGCUCUUACCUGGCCCCUGCCUCCCUCUUCAAACUCCCAUCCCCGCCCUGCCCAUCACACCCACUCACAAGCUUGUUCCCGCCUCCAGACACUCGCAUUUGCUGUUCGCCUUACUCAACAAGGGCAGUGACCUAAAUCCUUUCGUUCACUCCAGCAUCCCCAACACCCAGCCUCUCUGCCACUGUUCACUGAAGAAAUAAACCAAACCCAGGAUUACGGCCUCCACACAACACCUCAAAGGAGGCCAGGCUGGGAUCCUGGGCUAGUCCAUGUCCUCAGGCUUUUCACCCCAAAAUUUAGAUCAGCAGACUUAGCUACUGACCAGGGACUGGAAAACCAUAUCCUGUGGGCCAAAUUCCAGCCCAUUUGGGCUGUUUGUUUUCUUUUUAGGGCCGCACCCACAGCAUAUGGAAGUUCCUAGGCUAGGGGUCAAGUCGGAGCUGCAGCUGCUGGACACAGUAACUCAGGAUCCAAGCCACAUCUGCAACCUACACUGCAGCUUGUGGCAAUGUGGGAUCCUUAACCCACUGAGCGUUUUAAUUUUUUUUACUAUUUUUUUCCGUUUAUUUUAGUACAAUCUGUAAACUAAGAAUGGUUUUUAGGUGUUCUCACUGUGGCACAGCAGAUUAAGAAGCCAACUAGUAUCUGCAAGGACUCGGCUUCAACCCCUGGCCUCGUUCAGGGAGUUAAGGAUCCUGCAUUGCUGCAAGCUGUGUAGGUCUCCAAUGCUGCUGGGAUCUGGUGUAGCUAUGGCUGUGGCGUAGGCCAGCGGCUACAGCUAUGAUUUGACCCGUAGUCUGGGAACUUCCAUAUGCUGAGGGUACAGCCCUAAAAAGACUUUAAAAAAAAAAAAAAAAAAAAAAAAA
Molecule: long non-coding RNA, 7580 nt
Filed under: Sus scrofa (pig)
Lineage: Eukaryota; Metazoa; Chordata; Mammalia; Artiodactyla; Suidae
Description: lncRNA (ENSSSCG00055016645.1)
Source: RNAcentral